UUUAAUCCAACUAUCCGUAGUUGAUUUUAAUGAGGAAUCAGCCACAUGGGAGAUGAGAACAAUCCCACCAAUUGGGCAGCAGUGAGGAAUUCUGGACAAAAAGUUGACACUGGAUCUGGCGAGUUAAGGGAGAGGAAGAAAGCUACGAUAGUUGUAAACUCUGUUCGCCGAUCAAAAUUAUGCUAUAAUAUCGGAAGAGAAGCUAUGGCUAAUACAUGUGCCAGCAGCCGCGGUAAUACAUGAGUGGCGAGCGUUACCCGUAUUACUUAGGCGUAAAGGAUGUGUAGGUGUUAUAAGAAUUUAUACUCGACUAUAAUGAAAACAGGAAGCGUGUAUAAUAACUUAUUAAUAGAGAUUAGUAGUUGUUUAUAGCAUCUCGAAAAUAGUGAUUAAAUACAGAGAUUUAACAGGGAUUUUCUAAAUUGAAAAUUUUUUGCAAUACUAAUCUGACACUAAUACAUGAAAGUAUGGACACUGAACAGGAUUAGAGACCCUAUUAACCCAUACCGCGAACAAUGAGUAUAAUACUAAUAUAGUUAAAGCUAACGCUAAAAUACUCCGCCUGGGGACAUCGGCUACUCGGCCUAAACUUAACAGAAUUGGCGGGAAUCUGUUCAAACGGUGGAAUAUGUGGUUUAAUGCGAUGAUCCACGCAUAAUCUUACCAACGUGAAGGCUUUUUAUUUUAAUAGCUCAGAUGAGUUAUGAAACAAAAGUUUAAGGUGUUGCAUGGCUGUCGUCAGUUCGUGCUUCGAAGUGUAGGAUUAAUUUCUUAUAACGGACGUAACCCUCACUCAACAGUUUGAAGAAACGGUAUGGAAUGUUUUAUUACAAAUACUAAAAUCUUUUCUGUAGCAAAGGGAUUGUCGAAACAAAACGUAUAAUGUUUUUAUAAACAUUUAAUUUUUGUUAGGCAGGUUCCGGAGGGUUAGGCUGAAGUCAAGUCCUUAUGACCUGUAUAUGUUGGGCUACACACGUGUUACAAAGGCUGAAACAAAGAGUUGCAAAGGAUUAUACCGAAGCUAAGCUUGAAAAACAGCCCCAGUUCAGAUUGCAUCCUGAAACUCGGAUGCAUGAAGUUGAAAUCGUUAGUAAUCGUAUAAUAGCACGAUACGGUGAAUGUAAAAUCGGGUUCUGCACACACCGCCCAUCACGCUCGGAGAAUUGACGUGUACUGAAUUGUUUUUCUAGGUUUAUUUAUAAAUUUAUUUUUUUAAAAUGACCCAAGGAUGUAGAUGGAUGGCUCGUUGGUAAUUUGAGUGAAGUUGACACAAGGUACUGGUAGGGGAACCUGCCGGUGGA
This 1301-nucleotide ribosomal RNA is filed under the name Aristerostoma sp. ATCC 50986. RNAcentral's name for it is "partial Bacterial small subunit ribosomal RNA". It matches the Rfam family "Bacterial small subunit ribosomal RNA", at positions 267 to 1522 of the family's 1533-position model. The record is from RNAcentral. Lineage: Eukaryota; Ciliophora; Colpodea; Cyrtolophosidida; Cyrtolophosididae.